This 69-nucleotide transfer RNA is filed under the name Ictidomys tridecemlineatus (thirteen-lined ground squirrel). RNAcentral's name for it is "Spermophilus tridecemlineatus (thirteen-lined ground squirrel) tRNA". It matches the Rfam family "tRNA". Rfam says of the family: Transfer RNA (tRNA) molecules are approximately 80 nucleotides in length. Their secondary structure includes four short double-helical elements and three loops (D, anti-codon, and T loops). Further hydrogen bonds mediate the characteristic L-shaped molecular structure. tRNAs have two regions of fundamental functional importance: the anti-codon, which is responsible for specific mRNA codon recognition, and the 3' end, to which the tRNAs corresponding amino acid is attached (by aminoacyl-tRNA synthetases). tRNAs cope with the degeneracy of the genetic code in two manners: having more than one tRNA (with a specific anti-codon) for a particular amino acid; and 'wobble' base-pairing, i.e. permitting non-standard base-pairing at the 3rd anti-codon position. The record is from Rfam by way of RNAcentral. RNAcentral also lists the same sequence under 1 other name. Lineage: Eukaryota; Metazoa; Chordata; Mammalia; Rodentia; Sciuridae.
GGCAUUGUGGCUCAGUGGCAGAGCACUUGCCUAGCAUGUGUGAGGUUCUGGGUUCGAUCCUCAGCACCA